CGUAGGAUGCAAGCGUUAUCCGGAUUUACUGGGUGUAAAGGGAGCGCAGGCGGGACUGCAAGUUGGAUGUGAAAUACCGUGGCUUAACCACGGAACUGCAUCCAAAACUGUAGUUCUUGAGUGAAGUAGAGGCAAGCGGAAUUCCGAGUGUAGCGGUGAAAUGCGUAGAUAUUCGGAGGAACACCAGUGGCGAAGGCGGCUUGCUGGGCUUUAACUGACGCUGAGGCUCGAAAGUGUGGGAGCAAACAGGAUU
Molecule: ribosomal RNA, 253 nt
Filed under: uncultured bacterium
Lineage: Bacteria
Description: partial 16S ribosomal RNA
Rfam family: Bacterial small subunit ribosomal RNA
Source: RNAcentral